AAGGAGAAAUUAAGAUGAUUAUUGGCCCUUGCAUUGACUGUCGCAACAUGGUACCGGUAAUGGUGAGCUUUGUAGUUAUUAAUUUGCUCGUACUUUGAUUUUACAUGUGGGAAAAUAUGUCAUACUAAGCUAAGAUAUUUUUUUCAGGAGUGAAGUCAAUUACUUAUUCUGAAUUGAUGGAUGAAGUAUGUUUAUUGCUUUUAAGUUUAGCCGGCUAUGUUUGAGAACUUGAUCUGUUUAAGACAUGACUUUGUGUUUUGUUUAUGACUUGGUAUUUUAAUGGAGAAGCAUUGGUAUUU
RNAcentral lists this long non-coding RNA (299 nucleotides) under Arabidopsis lyrata. Its description in RNAcentral is "long non-coding RNA (ALYR_LNC002482)". Lineage: Eukaryota; Viridiplantae; Streptophyta; Magnoliopsida; Brassicales; Brassicaceae. The record is from RNAcentral.